UAGUCCACGCUGUAAACGAUGUCUACUAGCUGUUGGGUUCCUUGAGGACUUAGUGGCGCAGCUAACGCGAUAAGUAGACCGCCUGGGGAGUACGGCCGCAAGGUUAAAACUCAAAUGAAUUGACGGGGGCCCGCACAAGCGGUGGAGCAUGUGGUUUAAUUCGACGCAACGCGAAGAACCUUACCUACACUUGACAUACUCGUCGGGACUUUCAGAGAUGAUUGUCUUCGGUUCGGCUGGACGAUGUACAGGUGCUGCACGGCUGUCGUCAGCUCGUGUCGUGAGAUGUUUGGUUAAGUCCAGCAACGAGCGCAACCCCUAUCGUAUGUUGCCAGCAUUCAGUUGGGCACUCAUGCGAGACUGCCGGUGUUAAGCCGGAGGAAGGUGGGGACGACGUCAAGUCAUCAUGGCCCUUACGUGUAGGGCUACAAACGUGCUACAAUGGGAGUUACAGUGGGCAGCGACGUCGCGAGGCGAAGCUAAUCCCUAAAAGCUCUCU
This 499-nucleotide ribosomal RNA is filed under the name uncultured bacterium. RNAcentral's name for it is "bacterial SSU rRNA". It matches the Rfam family "Bacterial small subunit ribosomal RNA", at positions 791 to 1288 of the family's 1533-position model. The record is from RNAcentral.